UACGAAGGGGGCUAGCGUUGCUCGGAAUCACUGGGCGUAAAGCGCACGUAGGCGGGUCGUUAAGUCAGGGGUGAAAUCCUGGAGCUCAACUCCAGAACUGCCCUUGAUACUGGCGAUCUCGAGUUCGGGAGAGGUGAGUGGAACUGCGAGUGUAGAGGUGAAAUUCGUAGAUAUUCGCAAGAACACCAGUGGCGAAGGCGGCAUCCUGGCCCUGUCCUGACGCUGAGGCGCGAGAGCGUGGGGAGCAAACCGG
Molecule: ribosomal RNA, 253 nt
Filed under: uncultured bacterium
Lineage: Bacteria
Description: partial 16S ribosomal RNA
Rfam family: Bacterial small subunit ribosomal RNA
Source: RNAcentral